Small nucleolar RNA from Rattus rattus (black rat), 147 nucleotides. RefSeq annotates it as small nucleolar RNA SNORA48. The transcript has a single exon. The record is from RefSeq and is a predicted model, not a curated record. NCBI's taxonomy places the organism in Eukaryota, Metazoa, Chordata, Mammalia, Rodentia, Muridae.
UACCCUACCAAUGGGUAAAAAGAGAUUUUGUUGUUGGUGGUGGUGUUUUUAUAUUAGUCAGGGGCAGAGAGAGAUGGCAGUCCUUUGUUCAUCCAAGCUUGAUGCCUGGCUCAGUGGCCAAAGCUGUUUUAUGCCUAGGAUACAUAA